GAUGGGCGUUUCCCUUGUGGUCGGUGUGCAGGUGGUGCAUGGCUGUCGUCAGCUCGUGUCGUGAGAUGUUGGGUUAAGUCCCGCAACGAGCGCAACCCUUGUCCUAUGUUGCCAGCGGGUUAUGCCGGGGACUCAUGGGAGACUGCCGGGGUCAACUCGGAGGAAGGUGGGGAUGACGUCAAGUCAUCAUGCCCCUUAUGUCCAGGGCUUCACACAUGCUACAAUGGCCGGUACAGAGGGCUGCGAAGCCGUGAGGUGGAGCGAAUCUCGUAAAGCCGGUCUCAGUUCGGAUCGGGGUCUGCAACUCGACCCCGUGAAGUCGGAGUCGCUAGUAAUCGCAGAUCAGCAACGCUGCGGUGAAUACGUUCCCGGGCCUUGUACACACCGCCCGUCACGUCACGAAAGUCGGUAACACCCGAAGCCCGUGGCCCAACCCGUAAGGGGGGGAGCGGUCGAAGGUGGGACUGGCGAUUGGGA
This 477-nucleotide ribosomal RNA is filed under the name uncultured bacterium. RNAcentral's name for it is "bacterial SSU rRNA". It matches the Rfam family "Bacterial small subunit ribosomal RNA", at positions 1005 to 1480 of the family's 1533-position model. The record is from RNAcentral.